This 261-nucleotide ribosomal RNA is filed under the name uncultured soil bacterium. RNAcentral describes it as "partial 16S ribosomal RNA". It matches the Rfam family "Bacterial small subunit ribosomal RNA", at positions 26 to 285 of the family's 1533-position model. The record is from RNAcentral.
AGGACGAACGCUGGCGGCGUGCUUAACACAUGCAAGUCGAACGGAAAGGCCCUGCUUUUGUGGGGUGCUCGAGUGGCGAACGGGUGAGUAACACGUGAGUAACCUGCCCUUGACUUUGGGAUAACUUCAGGAAACUGGGGCUAAUACCGGAUAGGAGCUCCUGCUGCAUGGUGGGGGUUGGAAAGUUUCGGCGGUUGGGGAUGGACUCGCGGCUUAUCAGCUUGUUGGUGGGGUAGUGGCUUACCAAGGCUUUGACGGGUA